AGGUUAAAAAACAUUGACAGGAGCAGCGCUCAGCACCUAGAGGUCACGGUUGGAGACCUGACUGUCAUCAUCACAGACUUUAAGGAGAAAACCAAACCUCCCCCCUCCUCCACCACCACCACCACCACACCCCCCACCUCUACCACCCCCUCCAGCACUGUGUCUGUGUCUGCAGAACACCACAGUGGCUCCAGCUCAGACAACAACACUGAGAGAGGGGUCUCACGGUCAUCUUCACCCCGAGGAGAGGGCUUCUUAGUCGGGACAGAGUCCCACUAGACCACCACAAUUGGAACCCAAGACCCCCCCCCCCAAGUUGGAGGCCCUGGAUCACCAAACUCCUAGCCCAACAGACCCUCAGACCUCCAACCCCUAGACCUUGGCCUGGACAUCCAACCCCUAGACCUUGCCCUGGAUCCCCAACCCCUAGACCUUGGCCUGGAUCCCCAACCCCUAGACCUUGGCCUGGAUCCCCGACCCCUAGACUUUUGCCUGGACACCUGACCCCUAGACCUUGGCUUGGAUCCCCAACCCCUAGACCUUGGCCUGGACCCCCGACCCCUAGACCUUGGCCUGGACCCCCGACCCCUAGACCUUGGCCUGGACCCCCGACCCCUAGACAUUGGCCUGGACCCCCGACCCCUAGACCUUGGCCUGGUACCCCGACCCCUAGACCUUGGCCUGGUACCCCGACCCCUAGACCUUGGCCUGGACCCCGACCCCUAGACCUUGGCCUGGAUCACUGACCCCUAGACCUUGGCCUGGAUCCUCGACCCCUAGACCUUGGCCUGGAUCCCGAACCCCUAGACCUUGGCCUGGAUCCCCAACCCCUAGACCUUGGCCUGGACCCCCAACCCCUAGACCUUGCCCUGGAUCCCCAACCCCUAGACCUUGGCCUGGACCCCCGACCCCUAGACCUUGGGUAUGACUACUCAUGGCUUAACAUAGGCCACUCUAACCUCACUCCUCUGUCCUCAACUCUGAUAUGUAAUGUUAUCUCUGGACUUGCACAUUUACUGUAGUACUAGCUACAGGUUACAGCUAGAUCAACACAUUUAGCAGCUACAGGUUAUAGCUAGAUCAACACAUUUAGCAGCUACAGUUUACAGCUAGAUCAACACAUUUAGCAGCUACAGGUUAUAGCUAGCACUACUACUAGCAACCUUGAGUUGUGGUUUGCUUUUGGACAAAAAAAACACCACAAUCUGAAGUCUUGUUUUAAUGAAAUUUCUCUGAUUAACUUUAGGUCAAUUUAACUGACUUUUAAAAACUAUUUUUUGAAACCUGUGUUCUAAACAUGAAGUAAUGUCAUUACAUUUAGCUGAUCUUAGCCUAUUGUACAGCUCUGUUUUUUAAUGUGUUAUAACAUCACGUCAGUGUUAGUAUCCAUGUCAACAUCGGAACUUUCAACCUCCUGUCCAAUGAGAACUGUCGUGACAUGAUGAUUAUGGUUCAGAGUUCUUCAGUUUGUGUUGCAUUAUGGGAGAAAACAUGAGGUACAUGUGGAGAGGAUGGAAAACCUAUAGGCUCUCUUUUGGUACUUGUCUCUCAGUUGUAAAGUGUCAUUUAUUGAUUGAAUGUGUUGGAGACUGAAUUGUAUUGUCAUUGACUCACAUCAGCCGGGACCUGGUGUGGUUUUAUCAUUCAUGAGAAAAUAUUCUUCAAAACAACGUCUGUUUUUGAAUUGUGUCCUUUUUAACACCACCUCAAAUGAUUGAUCAUACUGUAUCACAACAUUCACUGUUACAUUUUCUAUCAUUUGUUUUGUUUCUACCAAGCAUUUCUGUUUAGAAAUGUAUGGACAACUUGGUUGGUUACAUGGUUCAAUGUCUAUAAAGAAAGAUAUAAAUAAUGGCA
Molecule: long non-coding RNA, 1857 nt
Organism: Salvelinus namaycush (lake trout)
Lineage: Eukaryota; Metazoa; Chordata; Actinopteri; Salmoniformes; Salmonidae
Exons: 2
Source: RefSeq, a predicted model, not a curated record